AUGGGAAAGGGUGUGCUGGCCCCAUGCAACCUGGGUGGACCCCUCUGGGAGGGAGGCAGAGUCAGGGUGACCAGGACUCCUGGCUGGAUUCAUUGAUCAGGAAGCAGAGAUGGAGUUCAGAUGGUUCCAGAAGCCAAGGCCUGACUGUCUCCCUGGGCCUGUGACUCGAAAACAGCCCUGGCUGGCUGCCACCCUUUCGUACUGCCUGUUCUGUAAGGUCACACACAGGGUCAUGCCUGCCUUCUGACAUUCUGCUCACCCCAGAUCAGAGACAGUCAGCAUCACCGUGCCCAAGGCCAAAGCCCUCUUCUCCAGGAUGACUGUAUCAAGAAGCCCCAAGCAGUCGAUUCAUCUUCUAAGUGAUCUGAUCCCACAGACUGCUGCCCCCGCAGACCCACGAUGGCCUCCUCUACACAAAGCCUGUUCUUCAGAGGCCACAGAUUGGCCCUAUGUGAUGUGAGCACACGGCAAAUACUCAACUCACCCACCAAUAAGCUGUCUGCUGCCACUUAACUGUUCCAAGCACAGUCAUCAGGUAGUGGCUGCAAACUUGCUGGGGAAGAGCCAGGAUCAAGGACAAAGCUGAGAAUAAGGUCAACCUACUAGGAAGGCAAUUGAGAGAGAUAAGGAUAGGGUAAUAAAAUCUGCAAUUGCUAGGAAA
Molecule: long non-coding RNA, 661 nt
Filed under: Mus spretus (western wild mouse)
Lineage: Eukaryota; Metazoa; Chordata; Mammalia; Rodentia; Muridae
Description: RIKEN cDNA 2010106C02 gene (ENSMSPG00010020942.1)
Source: RNAcentral